This 466-nucleotide long non-coding RNA is filed under the name Setaria viridis. RNAcentral's name for it is "long non-coding RNA (SVIR_LNC010860)". The record is from RNAcentral. Lineage: Eukaryota; Viridiplantae; Streptophyta; Magnoliopsida; Poales; Poaceae.
UAAACUAUUUUAAUUGCGCUUAAGCCAGUUUAAGUCGGACGGUUCUGCCACACUUUGUGUCACUCUGAUAUGUAAUAAAUACUUUAAUACUCUUUCAUUAUGACAUGGUUGUGGUGAUUCACUUAUGAAGUCCAUUAUAUGUGUGAAACUUUGAUCCUGGCAUACAUAUGAGAUGCAUCCGGUUUUCCCUCUAAAAUCGGGCAUGACAAAAGUGGUACCAGAUCUAUGAUGACUGUAGGACAUGAGCCUAGUUAGCAACGGUCUUUUUUCAAGGAUUAGUAUGCUUAUUCUACCUUGUUCUAAUUAUCCUUGCUCUUGUUUUGUUAUAUAUUCUUGCUCAUUUUGAUUAUUUACCUCCUCCUUAUUGUUAUUUCUACUCAGUUAACUUCGUCAUUGUUUAUGCUCUACUCAUGCUAUCUUAUCUUGCCUUAAUGUCUUUAUAGUUGUUCUAACCUUCCACUUUCUC